CUCGCGAUGCCCUUGCCUCGAUCCUGGUCCGCAGACGGUGCAGCAGCCGGCACCUGUGGCUCUGCAAAAACAUAGGUAACAACUGGGCGUGAGAACUACUGUAAAAACAAGUAGUCCUCAGUGGGUACCGCCCAAAACAACAUCGGUCACCCACUAAGUCUACAGAAGGGAGCUAAGAUAGAAGGAAAGCAGGAAUCAUACUCUACCGCUAUCAUCCACUACACUAUCAUGCUCUACACUAACCAACUGUAGAAAAUGUCAAAUCUGACCCAAUCCAAUCGGGACUGUAAGCAUACCCGUCCCCGGGACUGUGAAUACACCCGUCCCUGCCCCGUUGCGACUAUCAAGCUCUAUCCACACUAACCGGUCCGUGGAGAGCAAGUCCAACUGGCAUGAGCGACACCAACGCAAAAACACAAGCCUGACUCCGGAGUGGCACUCGUGGGCGCUACCCAACCGAGUAUGCAGCGUAUCUCUGUCGAGCUCAAUCAGGCUCCAACUAGCCAAAGUCAAGUAAUCGACUCGAAAUGGUCUAACAACCAACAGGUAACGUGCCCUCGGCACAAUCUGACGCCAAAAAGGCGAUACGGGUCCACCGUCAACUCUGACAGCACCCAACAGUCCGAAACGACCUGAACGAACCUGUAAAAAUUCACUCGGCGAACCAGCACGAGUGUAAAUACAUUCUAAACUACCUGGAGUACUUGUCUCGAAGAAACUGCGACAGUACAAUUUUCUGACGGCUCCUAGAGCUAAAUUUGGUAGUUAAAACUGGUGACAGGUCCAAAUCGCAGGUUUUCUCCUAAUUCAAUUUCCAAGUCCAACAUGUAUAAUUUAAAUAAUUAUAAAGCAUGCUCAAAAUUCAGUUCUCACAUUCAAGCACUUAACCCAUGAAUUUGAGCUAAACUAGAUUACCAAAAUUCAGAUCUAUACAUGUCGACGAUUAUGAACUUAGGAGUCGAAACCGAUGUAACCCACCUCGCUCGCUAAUCCCUGGCAGCACGGAACACCCUCGGCUGCAACACCACCUGCUGGAUUGACCAAAAAUGCCCGAGUCUCGAAAUCGAGCGAACUCCAAACUAAAAACGUACAUACAUACAUACAUACAUACAUACAUAUAGCCGAUAGCACGAACAUUUUCGUGGUUCAUAAACCACCAACAUUAAAAAAGUGGCAAUCUAAAUAGGAAAACUAGUAAAAGUGGGAAAUCAAAUAUGAUAAGUUGAUUGGCGGGUGAGUUAAGAUCCCAUGGCGAUAGUACACUCUGGCGUCUAUCAGGAGAUAUAUUCUAGAUUAUCCCGAUGUUGAGAACUGCGCCGUAAAUCGUAAAACCCACCAAAGAUCUGCAUAUCUCCAAGUCUCUAAGAUGCGCACAAUCCUGCCCUCAACAGGAUACUAAACACUGACAGACCUCAUCAACCCCAAAAAAUAAAAAACUAGGAACACUCUAGGGACCACAAACUGACACCUCUGAACAGCUGUCGAGACCUCUCACAGCCCUGUUCAGGCUCAGCGCAACCGCAGUUUACCUGCGUUUUGCCCGAGGCACGCUGCGCUCCCGUUGAAAGUCGCUUCUUUUAGACGUUUGACGUCAAAAAGACGAACGACAUGGCCAUGUCGGUAGUUCCACAUGGCCAUGUGACGUGACCCGGCGCGCACCCAACGAGAGCCCAACCGAGGACAUGGCCAUGCGCUAGGGCACAUGGCCAUGUGGUCUCAUCCACUCCCCGAAAAACCAUAAAAAUGUAACGGAGCAAACAUAGAGGGGAGUGAGGGGAGAUAUAUCAAAGCACAUCCCUCUCUCUCUCUCUGAAAAACGACGGUAAGAGGUAGAGAGAGAGUGAGAAGGUAGGCCAACUUCCGUUCCACCUUGGGCCCACCUCAAAACAGCGGCUGCAGCGCGGCGCUUCGGCGAUCUCGAACACAACUGCGGCCCCGAAACGCUCCUCCGGCCCGCUCGCCUCCAAAAGCGGCAGGAACGACAGUGUGUCCAUGAACCACAACAGCUCCACUCAUAAGUCGUAAAGAAACCUAAAAACCCGUUUAAGAAUGCUGAAGUUGAGCUCCUCUACAACAAACGACUUAAAGUGGCAGCUGACAAACAUAAAACCGAGCAAGAGCUGCAUCCUCGUAGCCUAACGCUGCUCUGAACCAAGCAACCUAAGCCCUGACGCUCUCCUUAGGUGCUUCGGGAAUGAACGCUUAAAACCACUUCCAAUCGAGCCAGCUUAGGGCAAAGAUGAGUCGACGACACCUAAAACCUGACUUAACUCCUUAAAACCNCUGAACACCAGGGAUCUCACAUCCUCUCCCUCUAGAAAAAAUUUCGUCCGCGAAACUGAACGUACCUGACUCAGGCGUCAAACAAGUAGGGAUAGGCUUCCCUCAUCACCGUCUCAGGCUCCCAAGUCGCCUCCCGCUCCUCGUGAUCACUCCACUGCACCUUUACAAAGGGUAUGACCCGGUUGCGCAAUUCCCUCGUCUCACGAGCCAGAAUCCGCACCGGUCGCUCCUCGUAGCUCAGGUCCUCGCCAAUCACAAGCGGAGUGAAGUCGAUCACGUGGGAGGGGUCGAAUACAUAUUUCCUCAAAGCCGAGACGUGGAACACAUUAUGAAUGCCGGCUAGCCGUGGUGGUAGAGCAAUCCUGUAAGCAACUGGCCCGACUCGCUCCAAUACCUCGAAAGGGCCUACAAAACAUGGACUGAGCUUUCCACGUACACCAAAUCGGCGAAUCCCUCUGGACGGCGAGACUUUAAGAAAAACAUGAUCUCCAACCUGAAACUCCAAGUCUCGUCUCCUGGUAUCGGCGUAGCUCCUCUGUCGGCUCUGCGCUGUCAAAAGGUGUCGUCGAACGACUCUCACCUUUUCCUCUGCCUCAAGUAGAAUAUCAGGCCCAAGCGUCUUCCUCUCACCCACAUCACUCCAAAACAAAGGGGAUCGACAUCUUCGUCCAUACAACGCCUCAAACGGAGCCAUCCGGAUGCUCGCUUGAUAGCUGUUGUUGUAUGCAAACUCAACCAGUCUCAAAUGCCGAUACCACCCUCCUCCAAAGUCCAAGACACAUGCCCUCAGCAUGUCCUCUAGAGUCUGAAUGGUCCGCUCUGACUGACCAUUUGUCUGUGGGUGAAACGCCGUGCUGAAAUGCAACUGUGUACCCAAGGCUGUCUGCAAACUCCUCCAGAAGUGCGAUACGAACCUCGGGUCCCGGUCGGAUACUAUCGAAGUGGGCACGCCAUGCAACCUCACUAUCUCAUCCAAGUACAACUGAGCGAGUCUCUCUCUGGACCAAGUGGUCUGCACCGGUAAGAAGUGAGCAGACUUGGUCAGUCUGUCCACUAUCACCCAAAUCGCAUCAAAACCACCCUGUGCUCUCGGCAAUACGACGACAAAGUCCAUCGUGAUCUGCUCCCAUUUCCACUCGGGCACUGGUAGACUCUGAAGCUUGCCAGCAGGUACCUGAUGCUCGGCCUUUACCUGUUGACAAGUAAGACACUGAGCCACAAAUCUACCAAUGUCCCUCUUAAUUCCAUUCCACCAAAACUGAGCCUUUAAAUCCUUAUACAUUUUGGUUCCACCGGGGUGAACCGUAUAAGGUGAACAGUGAGCCUCUCUCAAGAUGUCCUCUCGGAUCUCUGAAUCCAUAGGUACACACAGUCGGUCCCUGUACCUAAGUACUCCCGCACUGUCCAAAGCAAAUCCCUCAGCCUGCCCCCUGUCUAGCUGCUCUCUAAUCCUCAACAAAUGCGGAUCUCCACUCUGUUUCUCGCGGAUCCUAUCCAACAGAGUAGGCUGCAACACAAGAGAUGUCAGCCUCGCUGUAGACCCAGGGGGUACUAUCUCGAGUCCCAGCCGCUGUAGCUCCUCGAGUAGGGGUCUCUGCUCCGUGAUCCUCAAACUCAGGCUCUGCACUGACUUCCUACUCAACGCAUCUGCCACCACAUUCGCCUUGCCGGGAUGAUACUGGAUACUAAUGUCAUAAUUCUUCAGCAACUCCAACCACCGGCGCUGUCUCAAAUUCAACUCCUUUUGGGUGAACAGAUACUUGAGACUUUUAUGAUCAGUAAAAAUCUCGCAGUGCUCGCCGUACAAGUAAUGCCGCCAGAGCUUCAAAGCAAAAACCACCGCGGCAAGCUCCAAGUCAUGCGUAGGGUAAUUCUUCUCAUAAUCCUUUAACUGCCGUGAAGCAUAAGCAAUCACCCUACCAUGCUGCAUCAGUACGCAACCAAGUCCACUGUGCGAUGCAUCACUGUAAAUCACAAAUCCUUCGCCCAUAACAGGAAGGGCAAGGAUAGGAGCCGACAUUAACCUCAANCCGGCGACCGCACCUCGGGAGGAGAUGGCUACAGCAUUACCUGUUCAGAGACCAGCGACGGGGGCGGCAUUUCCCGUGAUGGCCGAGGGAGCCGAGCGGGAUCGGCUCAUGGAUCGCCUCAGUGAGUUCAGGAGGUGCAGCCCGAGGAUCUUCGAUGGCGAGAACGUCGACCAUUGGAUUGUUGAGAAGUGGUUGAUGCAUAUGGAGAACCUUUUUCGAGAUACCUUUGUUGAGGAGAGGGACAGGGUUUGGCUCGCCACUCACUUUCUGGACGGCGAGGCCUAUCGUUGGUGGUUGGAUAUCCAGGACAACCCCAGCACCGACUUGACAGCGAUUACUUGGACGAGGUUCAAGGUGCUCCUUCUAGCGCACUACUUCCCGACCAGCGCCAAGAGGAAGAUGGAGCAGGAUUUGCGUAGCUUGUGCCAGGACGAGCAAUCAGUGGCCGAGUACGAGAGAGAGUUUUUUCGGCUACUCCACUGUGUACCUUUUGUGGUCCGGGAUGAUCAGGACAAGGCCCGCAUCUUUGAGCGUGGAUUGCGGCCUUCGAUCUUUCGGUUGGUGCAGUCCUCCAACCUCCAAACCUACCGGGAGGUUGUGGACCGUGCACUCAUAGUGGAGGCAGGAGCAGCGGAUUUGCAGGAGCAUCGUGAGAGCUUGGAGAAAGGGAAGGGCCAGAGGCCCGCGGCUAAGGGUGCGAGUCAGACGCACUCACGGAGGCCGCCGAGGCACCCCAGGAGCCGGAGCCAGUCGCGAGGACGUGGCCAGUCUACUCAACGAGGAGGACCCGAUCGUCGUCAGGCUCCCCACUGCGUGAUCUGUGGCGGUCCUCAUUAUCCGCGGCAAUGUUCACGCAGUUGGGGCAGGUGCUUCUUGUGUGGCCAGGAGGGCCACUUCCAGUCGGAUUGCCCGAGGAGUCCUUUGCCAGCGCCAUCUUCGGCAUCUGCACCUGCAUCGCCAGGUCCCAGCCAGGGGACAUCUUCUGCGCACCACCAGGCCGGUCGGCCACCUGUCCAGCGGUCGACGGAGGGGUCACGACAGGCCCCGAGCGGGUGCAUGUAUGCAGCCCAGACUGAGGAGGCAGCGGCAGCCGAGAAUGUGGUCGCAGGUAUCAUUUUACUUUAUGGUAUUCGAGUUAGGGCUUUAUUUGAUACCGUUGCAUCGCAUUCAUUCAUAGACCGGCUGUUUGCCGAGUUGCAUGGCAUCCCACUUGUAUCCUUGUUGCAUCCGGGACGAGUCAUUGUACCCGAUCAUUCUUUGGACAUUCGGGAGUUUUGCCCCAGUUGCCGUGUUCGGGUUGGAGAUUGGAUCAUGCCCGUGGACUUGCUAGCUUUGCAUAAACUCGGGGAGUUUGAUGUUGUUUUGGGCAUGGAUUGGUUGACUAAGUACUACGCCACUAUCGAUUGCAAGAAUCGAACGGUGACUUUUAGAGAGCCAAGGCAGGCGGAGGUUGUGUACCGAGGAUGCCAGAGUUCGCUGUUUGCGAUGACGAUUAGCUCCUCGCGAGCUAGGCAGUUGAUUAGUAGAGGCUCCGUAGCCUAUUUGGCUACUGUGUUGUUGAAGGGUGAUGACGACGCCCCUAGGAUUGCGGAUAUCCCCGUAGUACGGGAAUUUGGAGAUGUGUUCCCAGCGGAGCUACCAGGUAUGCCACCUGAUAGAGAGAUUGAGUUUGUGGUAGAUCUCGUUCCCGGGACUACUCCAAUCUCAAAGGCGCCUUAUAGGAUGGCGCCGGCGGAAUUGAAGGAGCUGAAGGUCUUCUGGACAAGGAUUUUGUGCGACCGAGUGUGUCACCUUGGGGAGCACCAGUCCUAUUUGUCAAGAAGAAGAAUGGAUCACUUCGCUUGUGCGUGAACUAUCGUGAACUUAAUAAAGUCAUGAUCAAGAACAAGUAUCCAUUGCCAAGGAUCGACGAUCUAUUUGAUCAGCUUCAGGGAUCUUGUGUGUAUUCCAAGAUCGACUUGCAGUCAGGAUAUCACCAGUUGAAGAUCAGACCUGAGGAUGUGUCGAAGACGGCUUUUAGAACACGGUAUGGACAUUAUGAGUUUACUGUCAUGUCGUUUGGGCUUACUAAUGCCCCGGCAGCUUUUAUGGAUUUAAUGAACCGUGUUUUUAAGCCUUACCUAGACAAGUUCGUUGUGGUAUUCAUCGACGACAUUUUGGUCUAUUCCCGAAGUGAUGCAGAUCAUGAGGAACACUUGAGACUUGUACUUCAAGUGUUUCGGGAAAAGAAGCUCUAUGCCAAAUUGAAGAAGUGUGAAUUUUGGCUUAGAGAGGUGGCGUUUUUGGGCCAUGUGAUUUCAGGAUCAGGCAUAGCCGUGGACCCGAGAAAAAUUGAAGCUAUCAAGGAUUGGCCGAGGCCGACGAGUGUCACAGAGAUACGGAGCUUCAUUGGUUUGGCCGGCUAUUACCGACGGUUCGUCGAGGGAUUUGCAAAGUUGUCUACUCCCCUCACGAGACUCACGCAUAGAGGCACCAAGUUUAUUUGGAAUGAUGCUUGUGAAAGGAGCUUCCAAAAGCUGAAGCGGCGAUUGACGACUGCCCCGAUCCUAACCUUGCCGACUGCUGGAGCAGAGUAUGUGAUUUAUAGUGAUGCUUCCUUUAAUGGAUUGGGCUGUGUCUUGAUGCAGGACGGGAAAGUGAUCCCGUAUGCAUCUCGCCAGUUGAAGGAAUAUGAAAGAAACUACCCUACUCACGACUUGGAGUUGGCGGCCGUAGUCUUUGCAUUGAAGCUAUGGCGCCACUACUUAUACAGCGAGCGAUGCGAAGUAUAUACGGAUCACAAAAGCUUAAAGUACCUAUUCACGCAGAAGGAGUUGAACUUGAGGCAGCGCAGAUGGUUGGAGCUACUCAAGGAUUAUGAUUUGACGAUACUUUACCACCCGGGCAAGGCUAACGUGGUAGCGGAUGCACUAAGUAGGAAAUCGACGGAAAACUUAACGAUGUUUGUGGUUACUCAACCGCCGUUGAUCAAGCAGAUGAAGCGGUUGGAGUUGGAGGUGGUGGCUCCUGAUACACCUUUGAGACUGAUGACUUUGGUGGUGCAACCUACACUUUUGGAAAGGAUUAAGGAAAAGCAAGCUUCCGACUCGGAGUUGCAAAAGAUUCGAGCUAAGAUGGUUGAUGGUUGCACCGGUGACUUCACUUCAGACGGUGAUGGACUGAUGCGUUUCUGCGGACGACUUUGUGCACCGGCGGACUCGGACAUUAAAGAGGAUAUUCUUCAAGAAGCACAUCGAGCACCGUAUGCUAUACAUCCGGGAGGCACCAAGAUGUACAAGGACUUGAAGUUGCUUUAUUGGUGGCCCGGAAUGAAAAAGGAUGUUGGUGAGUUUGUGGCUAGAUGUUUAACUUGCCAACGGGUGAAGGCUGAGCACCGAGUUCCUGCGGGGAAGUUAUAGAGCCUAUCGAUUCCAGUGUGGAAGUGGGAAAAGAUCACCAUGAAUUUCGUGAUGGGAUUGCCUCGCUCACAGGCCGGGCAUGAUGCUAUUUGGGUGAUCGUGGAUAGAUUGACGAAAUCGGCACAUUUCAUACCUAUCCACACUACUUGGACUGGUGAGAGACUCGCACAGGUUUAUUUGGACGAGAUUGUGCGUUUACACGGGGUACCUACUUCUAUAGUAUCGGAUCGAGACCCCCGUUUUGUAUCCCAUUUUUGGAAGAGCUUACAGGACGCUUUGGGUACGCGCUUGGAUUUUAGCACUGCUUUCCACUGUUAAGGAUUUUAUAGGUUGGCGGAUUUCGUACUGCUGAAUGGAGUCUUGAAGAGUUGAUUGCGGAAGAUUGAAAAAAAGAUCUAAAUUGAAGGAAAAAGACUCACUCGUAAAGUUCGGCACCUAAGGUAUGAAGAAAAGAUCAUUUGUGAUGAAGACAUUUGUUUAGAAUAAGUUCAGAAGGCUUAGAUUGCUUUAAAAAUACUUUACUGAACUUUUCUGUGUUCAGGGACCGGUCCCUGAGGUCAAGAGACCGGUUCCUCUAAGGUCCUCACUGCGUGAACUUUGAUGCAACCGGUCCCCUGAGAUGAGAGACCGGUUCCCGAACCUUGGUAUUUCUGUCGCGCAGCGAGGGACCGGUCUCAAGCUUGAGAGACCGGUUCUCGAAUGUUGUGAUUUUGGUUACGCAGCGAGGGACCGGUUCCUCACUUGAGAGACCGGUCUCUCACAGACCGGUCUCCUCGAGAAGACCGGUCUCUGAGGACGACACAGGUUUUUAAAAAAGGACUUUUUGCAAUCCUAGUCUACUUCUAAGUCUUCUAAACAAAUAAGUAAGCUAUGUGGGUCAUCUAAAAGUUUAAGGCUUUGAAUAUUUACAGAUUCUAAACCCUAGAAACUUUUUUUUUUCCGUUUCAAUGCUUUGAUUCACAUAACGAGUUUCUAACAAUCAACAAUCGGCUUAAUUCUUCGUUUUUACUCGAUAACUCAUACGAGAAUCAAGUAGAUUUUUGAUUAAAGGUAAACCCUCAUAGCUUAUGGUAUUCAAAGGUUAAAUCAUCACAAAUCUUCGAUUCUACAAGCUCCGGAAGGAGGUUCGACGCGUGGAUCUCGCGUGAAGCUGAGGAUUCGGUGGACGCUUCGAGGAGUUGAGGCGUUGACGCUGCGAGGAGUUGCAGCAAGGUCGAUUGGUGGAUUCCUAUCGAUCGAGGACCGGCGAAGAUCACCAUCAACAAGAAAUCGGUAAAUUGAGUCGUGUAUUUUUGUCAAAAUCACUUGUACUCAAGUUUUCUUAGUGGAUUUUCUUCGCGUGAUCGGUCCCGUGGGUUUUUCACUCCGAAUUGGAGUUUUCCCACGUUAAAUUCUCGGUGUGCUGUUUUAUUUUCCACUACUUUAUUUUAUUUGCAUCGAGAUUUUCGAGUUUGCCGUAUUUACACCUAUUCACCCCCCUCUAGGUGUUACUUACCUUUUAGAUCCUCAGGAUCCAUAUCUUACAAGUGGUAUCAGAGCGGGUAUAGGUUGUAAUACAUGGCCGAGGGCGGUAACAUCAAUCGACCCCCGCUCUUCGAUGGUACUAACUACGCUUAUUGGAAAGUCCGUAUGAGGGCGUUUCUUAUUGCUAUCGACGAGCGGGUAUGGCAAGCCAUUGAAUUCGGAUGGAAACAUCCUACCGAAGUUGUCGAGAAUGUUACCGUUCCGAAACCUAGAAAUAAAUGGACGAAAGAGGAAAAUGAACUAUCUUCGUUCAACGGAAAAGGUAUCAAUGCUUUAUUCAAUACUUUAAAUCAAACUGAAUUUUCUCGCGUCUCGGCGUGCGAAACCGCCAAAGAGAUUUGGGACACUUUGCGAGUUACACACGAGGGUACAAGCUUGGUUAAGAUUCAAAAAUUACAAAUGCUUACUAGUAGAUUUGAUUCCAUUCGUAUGGAAGAAUAUGAAUCUUUUACCGAGUACUAUAGUCGUUUGCAAGAUAUUGUAAACACGUGUGCUAACUUGGGCGAGAAAAUUUCCGAUUCCAAAAUUGUUCGAAAAAUUUUGAGAACUCUUCCCGAACGAUUCCGUCCUAAGGUUGCGGCUAUUGAAACGGUCAAACAUCCUGAUAAACUCAAGGUAGAAGAAUUAGUAGGUGCUCUUCAAACUUAUGAAAUGACUUUUCCUUCUAAUUCGUAUUCUUCCAAGUCUUUUUCUAAAGCCUCAGGGAUGGCUCUAAAAUCAACAAAAGGAGAUGUCACUUCAACCUCAUCAGAUUCAGAGUCGGAGCAAACCCUGGAGGACUUUGAAAAGCAACUAGCACUUCUAACAAAGAAGUUUCGUCGGAACUUUAGAAAGAAGUUUCCUCCCAAGUCUACUUCUUCCAAGACAAGCAAAUCUAAAGGAGGUUCGUCUUCUUCUUCCUCAUCAAAAUACAGAAAAUCUGAUAACUCUCAAAAGGACUCUAGAAAAGAGAAGAAAAGCAGUGAAGGCCAAAUUCAAUGCUACAAGUGUAGGGGCUUUGGCCAUAUCGCAUCUGACUGUCCUAAUAAAAAGUCAUUGAAGAAGAAAGUGAUGCAAGCUAUUACUUGGGACGACUCCUCAUCUGACGAUUCCACUUCGAGUGAAGAGGAUGUAAAUGCCACGGCACUGAUUGCACAGGAUUCAACUUUCAUGUGUUUAGCAUCUGCUGACUCGAUCUCUAUGACAUCUAUACAAGAGAAGUCAUCUUCGGAGAACUCAUCAGAUGAAGAAUCGGACGAAGAUGACAUGGUCGCAGCAUACCAACAAUUGGUUGUUGAAUCAAAGAAGAUGGCUAAACAUAACAAGAGACUGCGGCGAAGUCUACAUGAGUUGGAACAAGAAAAUUCAAAAUUGGCCUCACUAACAAAGGAUUUAGAACAAGAGAGAGAUGGUUUGACAAAGGCCUACAAUUCCUUGAUCGAGAAGUGUUCAUUACUUGAAAAGGAAAAAGAGACUCAAGUGGAGAAUAUCACUUUUCUCACCAAGCAAUACUCAGAAGCUAGAGAAGAAAAUAUGGAAUUCACCAAGACGAUUAUUCAACUAAAGUCAGAUUUGAACCAAUUUUCGUCUGGAUCAAGUAAACUCGACAAGAUGCUUGGACUUGGUCAAACAAACAAACUUGGACUUGGGUACGAACGGACCUAUGUUGACCAAGCGACAAAGAAAGAUGGCGGACAUUCAUCAACUGCUGUUCCUAAGCUCUAUGGUAAGUUCGUCUCUCCUCAAAACAAUCUGACUAACAAAACUUGUCAUAUUUGUGGUGCUUUAGAACACAUAAAGAAAUUCUGCAAACAAAAGGGAAAGAGCGCAUCAACACCCUUGAAUCAAAGAACAUCAUUCAUGAAGAAUAAUCAUAUAUCUAAAGGGAAGUCAACUUGGACUCCAAAGAAGGUUGAUCACAAGAAAAAACAAGCAUGGAAACCAAAAAGGAGGAGAUGAAGAAGAAGUCAAUUCAAAUCGUCGACAAGCCACGAUCAACAAAAGCAAGCGAACUGACACAACCCAAAACACGUAAGGUUUGGGUGCGCAAAGGUGAACUCUUCCCAUGCCUAGUCAUUCACACUUCGCUUCAUGCUUACGAUAAUACAUCAUGGUAUCUGGAUAGUGGUUGUUCCCGUCACAUGACCGGAGAUAAAAAUUGGUUUACUUCUUUGAACAAAAUCUCCGGAGGACUUGUUGUUUUUGGGGACGGUCGAUCGUCAAAAAUUGUUGGAAAAGGAACAGUGACUAUCUCAGAUGGCCCUACGUUGAACGAUGUUUUUUAUGUUGAGGGGCUCAAAUCUAAUCUCGUAAGCAUAAGCCAACUGUGUGAUAAUGGGUAUUCUGUAAAUUUUUCUGAUAAAGAAUGCCAUGUGACUCGUGAUGACAAUCUGUUCUUAAAGGGCAUUAGAUCUCAGAACAAUUGUUAUGUAGUUCCUAGUUCUUCCACUGAACAUUGUAACCUAGCGUCAUUAGAAACUGAAACUUUAUGGCAUGAACGACUAGGUUACAUAAACUUUAAGGAGCUAUCAAAGAUAACCAAGAAGGAGGUAGUUAGAGGUGUACCUAAGAUUGAUUUUAAAGAGAACACUGUGUGUGGGGGUUGCCAAUUGGGGAAACAAACUAGAUCCACACAUAAGAACUUGAACCACUUAGGGACAACUAAGCCUUUAGAGUUACUUCACAUGGACUUGAUGGGACCAUCUAGGAUUCAAAGUUUGGGUGAAAAACGUUAUAUCUUGCUUAUUGUUGAUGAUUUUACUCGCUUUGUAUGGAGUGCCUUCUUACGAGAAAAAGCUGAUACUUUUGAUUCUUUUUCUGAAAUCUGUCUUCGUCUUAUGACUGAACGGAAUGAUAAAAUUGUACGUAUUCGAAGUGAUCAAGGGGGAGAAUUCAUAAAUUCAAAAUUUGUUGAUUUUUGUGUUUCAAAUGGGAUUAAACAUGAAUUCUCGGCUCCUUAUACACCCCAACAAAACGGAGUAGUUGAACGCAAGAAUCGGGUUGUACAGGAGAUGGCUCGUGUUAUGCUUCAUAGUAAGAAAAUCGCUCUACACUUUUGGGCCGAAGCAGUUAACACAGCUGUCUAUGUUAUAAAUCGGAUUUAUGUGCGUCCGGGUACUUUGAAUACGCCUUAUGAACUUUGGCUUGGUAGGAAAUCUAACAUUAAAUACUUUCAUGUCUUCGGGAGUAAAUGUUUUAUCCUUCGGGAUCGUGAAAAUCUUGGAAAAUUUGACUCUCGAAGUGACGAAGGCAUAUUUCUUGGUUAUUCUACUACGAGUCGUGCUUAUCGUGCGUACAAUUUACGAUCUAAGACGGUGAUAAAAUCUAUCAAUAUAAAAGUAGAUGAAGCUUCGUCUGUAAGUUCUUCUGUGAAUGGUUCCUCUAACUCUUUGAUGAAUGAUGAUGAUAAUGAUUCUCCGUUUGUAUUGCCUGUGAAUGAUGAUGUUUCUACACUUGAUAAUUCCAUUGCAUCUUCUGAAAAUAUUGCAUCAAAUGAUUCAUCUGAGCCACAAAUCACCACAUCUGAAAUCCUUAGCAUAUCUCCUGAGACUACACCCCUGACAGAGUCAAGAGAUCAUCCUUUAUCAAAUGUGAUUGGGGAUCCUAAUGUUGGUGUGCGAAUAAGAAGUCAGUUACAAUGUGAAUUUGCAUGUUAUGUCUCCUUGAUCGAGCCAAAGAAUGUCGACGAAGCACUUUGUGAUGAAUAUUGGAUAAAUGCCAUGCAAGAAGAACUUGGUCAAUUUGUCCGCAAUGAUGUAUGGGAAUUGGUGCCCCGUCCUGAGCAACAACACAUAAUAGGUACAAAAUGGAUAUUUAAGAAUAAGAAAAAUGAGGAUGGUACUAUUGUUCGGAACAAAGCGAGACUUGUUGCUCAGGGGUAUUCACAAAUUGAGGGAAUAGAUUUUGACGAAACAUUUUCCCCGGUUGCCCGUCUUGAAUCUAUUCGUAUCUUGUUCGCGAUUGCUUGUCAUUUUAAAAUCACGCUUUUUCAAAUGGAUGUUAAAAGUGCGUUUCUGAAUAGAUUUUUAAAAGAGGAAGUUUAUGUUGAACAACCGAAAGGUUUCAUAGACUCAAAAUUUUCAAAUCACGUUUUUCGACUGAAAAAGGCACUUUAUGGACUAAAACAGGCUCCGCGCGCAUGGUACGAACGCUUGACAAAAUAUCUUCUGAAAAAGGGCUACAACCGAGGGGGAGCAGAUAGAACUCUCUUUGUAAAACACUUGAAGGAUAAUUUCAUUGUGGCACAAAUCUAUGUGGAUGACAUAGUUUUUGGGGCUACUAAAGAUAAGGAUGCCGCUGAUUUUGCAAAGUUAAUGACCAGCGAGUUUGAGAUGUCGAUGAUGGGGGAGCUUAAUUAUUUCCUUGGACUUCAAGUUAAACAAUCAAAAGAUGGAAUUCAUUUGUCUCAGACCAAGUAUGCAAAGGAACUGGUUAAGAAAUUUGGAUUGGACAAUGCAAAGGAUUUUGACACUCCAAUGGGUACAAGCAACAAAGGACUGGGAUUGAAUUCAGAAGGUCAGAGUAUGGAUGAAAAACAAUACAGAAGCAUGAUUGGUAGCCUAUUGUACUUGACUGCGAGCAGACCAGAUAUUGCGUUUAGUGUUGGAAUUUGUGCUCGUUAUCAGGCUAACUCUAAAGAAGUACAUCUGAAAGCAGUUAAAAGGAUCAUUCGGUAUGUUAAAGGAACAACCAAGUAUGGCCUCUGGUAUCCUAUGGGAACAUCUCUUGAUCUAAUCGGCUACUCAGAUGCUGACUGGGCAAGCUCCGCAGAUGAUCGGAAAAGUACUAGUGGAGCUUGUUUUUACAUUGGCUACUGUUUGGUUGCUUGGCACAGUAAGAAACAAAAUUGUAUUGCACUUUCCACUGCAGAAGCUGAAUACAUUGCGGCAGGAAGUUGCUCUACUCAAUUGAUCUGGAUGAAGAGCUUACUAAGCGACAAUCGGAUCCCUUCCACCACUCUUACCAUUCUGUGUGACAACACAAGUGCAAUUAAUAUUUCUAAAAACCCUGUUUUACAUUCGCGAACAAAACAUAUUGAACUAAGAUAUCACUUUUUAAGAGAACUGGUUGAAUCAAACGUUUUACAACUUGAAUACAUUUCAACUGAAAAUCAACUUGCAGAUAUUUUAACCAAACCUUUGGAUCAAAAGCGUUUUCUACAUUUAAGAAAGGCAAUUGGUAUGAAUCCUUCAAUCUAGAUAUAUUCUAUUGAGCCAUAGAUCAUGUGCAUGUUGCAUUUUUACUUGCAUAAUUUCCGGUGUUUGAGAUUGACUUUCGUGAAUAAUUUGGGCGAUGAAUUGGUCUGUGACUUGAAUUAUUUCAUAUUUAAUUUUUGAUUGAUCACUGUCAGGGUUGUUCUCUAUUGGCAUAUUUUUGAACGAUCAAAUCAUUGAAAUUCUACUUAGCAUAUUGAAUCAAAUUCAGCUCCUCAUGCUUCGAACUUUGAAUGUUGCAAUUGUUUUGUUUGAUUAUUAGUUUUGAGAUGAAUAACACUUUCUCUAUUUUUUUGAAAUUACAAUAAUGUUUUUGACUUGAGGGUUGCGCUAAUUUAGGGGGAGUCUUUCCAAUUUCGGCUAUAAAACUUCUGAAAUUCAAGAUGUGGAAAGAGUUACAUCCCGGCUGGGAGUGUGAAAACUACCACCACAUGGAGGAAAGAGCUACCACCCCGGUCGUCUGGUCAGUGUGUGCAGCUACCACAUGUUGAUUAAAAUAUCUCUGUAAGAGAAAAGGAAAGUACCUUUUAAAAAAAAUAUAUGCUCAAAGAGCUAUACAUCUUGUAGGUGAUAUAAGGUGGAAUGUUAAUAAAAAGAAGCUCAAAGAGCCACUCCUGUCUCGAAUAAUGUGCAUAACUCACUUUGAUCAUGUUAUGGUAAUUUCACGAUUUUUUUGAUAAUUAUUUAUUCAUUUUCUUUAACAAAAUAUGAUGGUAAAAUGAUACAAUAAAUUCCUAGAUCUUGCAUGAUGAGUAGAAUUUUAUUUUAUCUGUAUCUAGAAUUUUUCAUUGAUUGUCGGAUCAACAAUUCUGCCAAAUUGAAUAUCCUUGGAAUUGAUUUUUCAAAAUUUAUUUAUGAAAUUUUAUCUGAAGUUUUUGGAUGGAAGUUGGUUAUUUUUGUUGGCUAAACAUCGUAGAAUAAUAUAUAUUUUUCUGAAAUUUUUGGAGCUUAUUUUAAAUUUUCUUAAAAAUUCUAGUCUCUGGGACCGGUCCCAUGCAGGAGAGACCGGUCCCUCCGCCGAACCCGAUAAAGGGCCAUCGCACGAUCUGUUUUUUUUUUGUGCGCGAUUUUUUUUUUCUCCUGCUUUCCUCCUUGGCACUUCUCUUGUCUACAGAUCAGGGAUUCCUCUUGUUUCUCCUUGGAUUGCAUUGAUUUUAGGUAUGAUUUUCGGAUUUCGUUGCGUUUAUGUCAUAUUCUCCGAAAAUGUAUCUUGUUUCAGAUUUUUUGAUGAGGGUUCUAAAGAUCUUGCUACAAAUGCAUGCUUAUGCUUCGAUCUUGUUAUUAGAACUGUUGUUUUCAUAUUUUCUAGUAUUUCUUUACUUUUGGAACAAGUUUUGUAGGUUUUUCAUCAUCAAAACCUAGGUUUUCAAAGUUUUCCUGAAAAGAUUUGUUUUUGCUGAUUUAGUUGCAUGAUUAGUUCUUGUUUCUCAUGAUUAUGUGGCUCCUAGGAUUAUCUAGUAUUUAUAUAUCCAUUUGCUGAAUUUUUUUUUGGAAUUUUAAAAAAAAUUUUAGUGUUCUUAUGUUUCAUAUGUAAAUAUUUUUAUGUUUAACAGAGGAUUUCUUCAAAAUGUAUUCAUUGUUACUUGUGCUUGUGGUCUUGAUGGUCGGGGGUGGUCGUGGAAGCAAACGACAGCGCUCCAAAGCUAAACGGCCGAUUGAGUAUCAACCGGAAGAUGAAGAGAGCGAAUAUGCUCCAGGCAACGACUCUGAGGAGGACGAGCCGGAUUGGGAGGCUUUUGUUCCCGAGGUAUUAGCUAAGGAUAAGGAUACAGGGAAAGGCAAGGGACAAGGAAAAGCCGUGGAUAAAGGCAAAGGAAAGGCGACUGAACGUCCCGGUCGUCGCAAGUCCGGAGGUGUUGAAAUUCGAGAACCAGGUUCUGAGCCACCACGUCACAGUCUGCAGGAUAUUCCUUCUGCUCGACGGUCCAUGUACUCGUCGAAGCAUUGUAUUGGUGAACGCGAUGUUGGGGUUACCAGUAUCAUUAGCUGUGUGCCAGGUUUUCAGGAUUUAUUUGAACAGGGAAAUCUUCAUCAGAUUUGUGAUUUCCCGGAGCAAACCAGUUUUUGUUUGGAGUUGAUCAGAGAAUUUUACAUGAGAGCAGGUCACCUGAGUGACUUCGAUGGCGGCCCGUACGUAUUUCGGACUUCCGUACGUGGUGUUGAGUUAUCCAUCACUCCUGAUACGAUAGCGUCGGUGCUAGGUAUGGAAGCUAAAACUGAAGGAGUGGAGUAUCUACAAGCUGAGUUCGACUCACUUCGCGAUUGGAAUCGUGUAGUGCACACUAUUUGCAUGCCGGGUACUGAGUCAAACGGCAUUAUGGUUAUGUCCAAAGAUUUCAAAAUGGAGUACCGUUUUUUAAACUUUGUGAUUUGCUACAACAUUCUGCCUGUCGCAAACACGAAGAUUCUGAGAUGGAUCGUAUUCUGUAUAUGUAUCUCUUGGGAAGGCCAGGUAUUGUAAGUGCAAAAAAUAUUAACAUGAAUAUUCCGUUUCUGAUCUGGCGGAGGAUGGUAAAAGACAUCAAAACUUCUGGACAAAAUGAAAGGCUGCCAUUUCCAUUGAUAAUCAUGAGGAUUCUGUGACUUCAUGAUGUGGAUGUCCGGUGUACAUCUUAUGAGCAUAGUUUGGGUCGGAUAAAUAAAAGGACAUUUGUGAAGUCCUCGGUGCAGCUUCGUACACCGUCUCAGCGUGCUUCUUCCCCUCCUGCUGCUCCACCUCCUGCUACUGCUACUUCUUCACGUCCUUCUAUGGACAUUUCCGAGGAAGAUAUCUCAGUUUCUUCUGUGUAUCGUGAGCAGCAACGUCUAUCUGAGGAGCUUCAGAAAUUGUCUGCGGAGCAAGCUGCGAUUCAGAAGGAUGUGAGCAAGAUGAAGCGCUUAUUGAAUAUGAUUUUUGACAAGUUAGGGUGUUGCCGAGCAGAUUUACCUCCAGGGGAUGCGUCUGAUUACGAGUUGCCGGGUUCCUUCUUUUAUCAUUUUGGCGCUUUCUGACAAAAAGGGGGAGAUGGUGGUUCUUGAUGGUCUUGAUGAUGAUGAUCAUUUAGCUUAGAUGAUGCAUUUUGCUUAGUUAUGUUAUGCAUUUAGCUUAGCCUUGCUUAGUUAUGUUAGUUGUGUAAAUUUGACUUGUGCUUGACUAUGAACUUUGACUUGCUGAACUAUGACUUGAUACUUUAUUUAAGUUUGAUCUUGAUAAGUUUACUUGAAUCUUGAUUAUGUUUUAAGAAUGUUUUUGCAGGAAUAAUUCAAGACUUCAAGACUCCAUGUCUAAGUUAUAGAGUUUGUAUUAAGGUUGUAAAAGUGUAAAUUUCUUUUAUUGGAUCGAUCAUGCAGGAGAUUAUCGUUUGGUGAUUGCGAUGAUCUUCUUUUUAUUAUUUAUGAGUUGUGUAUGAACUUUGUAAUAUAUUUUGUCACGAAAUCGCCAAAGGGGGAGAUUGUUAAGGAUUUUAUAGGUUGGCGGAUUUCGUAAUGCUGAAUGGAGUCUUGAAGAGUUGAUUGCGGAAGAUUGAAAAAAAGAUCUAAAUUGAAGGAAAAAGACUCACUCGUAAAGUUCGGCACGUAAGGUAUGAAGAAAAGAUCAUUUGUGAUGAAGACAUUUGUUUAGAAUAAGUUCAGAAGGCUUAGAUUGCUUUAAAAAUACUUUAUUGAACUUUUCUGUGUUCAGGGACCGGUCCCUGAGGUCAAGGGACCGGUUCCCCUAAGGUCCUCACUGCUUGAACUUUGCUGCAACCGGUCCCCUGAGAUGAGAGACCGGUUUCCAAACCUUGGUAUUUCUGUCGCGCAGCGAGGGACCGGUCUCAAGCUUGAGAGACCGGUUCUCGAACGUUGUGAUUUUGGUCACGCAGCGAGGGACCGGUUCCUCACUUGAGAGACCGGUCUCUCACAGACCGGUCUCCUCGAGAAGACCGGUCUCUGAGGACGACACAGGUUUUUAAAAAGGACUUUUUGCAAUCCUAGUCUACUUCUAAGUCUUCUAAACAUAUAAAUAAGCUAUGUGGGUCAUCUAAAAGUUUAAGGCUUUGAAUAUUUACAGAUUCUAAACCCUAGAAACUUGUUUUUUUCCGUUUCAAUGCUUUGAUUCACAUAACGAGUUUCUAACAAUCAACAAUCGGCUUGAUUCUUCGUUUUUACUCGAUAACUCAUACGAGAAUCAAGUAGAUUUUUGAUUAAAGGUGAACCCUCAUAGCUUAUGGUAUUCAAAGGUUAAAUCAUCACAAAUCUUCGAUUCUACAAGCUCCGGAAGGAGGUUCGACGCGUGGAUCUCGCGUGAAGCCAAGGAUUCGGUGGACGCUUCGAGGAGUUGAGGCGUUGACGCUGCGAGGAGUUGCAGCAAGGUCGAUUGGUGGAUUCCUCUCGAUCGAGAACCGGCGAAGAUCACCAUCAACAAGAAAUCGGUAAAUUGAGUCGUGUAUUUUUGUCAAAAUCACUUGUACUCAAGUUUUCUUAGUGGAUUUUCUUCGCGUGAUCGGUCCCGUGGGUUUUUCACUCCGAAUUGGAGUUUUCCCACGUUAAAUUCUCGGUGUGUUGUUUUAUUUUCUGCUACUUUAUUUUAUUUGCAUCGAGAUUUUCGAGUUUGCCGUAUUUACACCUAUUCACCCCCUCUAGGUGUUACUUAUCUUUUAGAUCCUCGGGAUCCAUAUCUUACAUCCACCCCCAGAGUGACGGGCAGUCGGAGCGUACUAUUCAGACUCUCGAGGACAUGCUUCGAACCUGCGUGAUUGACUUCCAGGGAGGAUGGUCGCAGUAUCUACCGAUGGCAGAGUUUGCUUAUAACAACAAUUAUCAAGCAAGCAUCAAGAUGGCACCAUUCGAGGCACUCUAUGGACGGAAGUGUAGAUCGCCACUUCAUUGGAGUGAAGUUGGCGAGAGAUUGGCUUUAGGCCCAGAUGUGCUCCAGGAAGUAGAGGACAAGGUUCGCAUUGCUCGGGAGCGAUUGUUGACAGCCCAGAGUAGGCAGAGGAGUUAUGCUGAUCGGCGUCGACGACAUUUGGAAUUUCAGAUUGGAGACCAUGUGUUCUUGAAAGUCUCGCCGACCAAAGGAAUUAGACGAUUUGGAAUCCGGGGCAAGUUGAGCCCCCGAUUCAUUGGACCGUUUGAGGUUUUGGAGCGGGUAGGCCCGGUAGCGUAUAGACUUGCUCUACCGCCGAACCUAUCGGGUGUACACAACGUAUUCCACGUAUCGGUCCUUCGGAAGUACAUCCACGACCCAGCUCAUGUUUUGGACGCUACGCCUUUGGAGCUGAGGGAUGAUUUGAGCUUUGAAGAGCAACCCUUGAGGAUUUUGGCUCGCGAGGUAAAAAGAUUACGGAACCGAGAAAUUCCCUACGUGAAGGUGCUUUCGAGCAACCACGACGAGCGCGAGGCCACUUGGGAGAUGGAGAGCGCGCUGCGGGAGCGCUAUCCCCAUCUUUUUCAGAUGUAGGCUUGAGGUACUUGUCAUUUCGAGUUUCGCGGACGAAACUCCCUUUUAGGAGGGGUGAAUGUAGCACACUGGACCUUUGCAAAUUGCGACGUUCGAGUAUUUGGAUGUAUUUCGAGCUUUUCCACACUUGGUGGAGGGUUGUAGAAUAUUUUCUGACCUAAAAAGUUCGAAAACUAGAAUUCUGGACAAGUCCUGAGAGUUUUUACUCUCGGGGACCGGUCCCUGAAAGGAGAGACCGGUCCCCCAGUGAGCAGUGUUACGGCAGCCUUGAGGCAACCGGUCCCUGGCAAGCGAGACCGGUCCCCGAGCGCGCCUACGCAGUGAGAGACCGGUCCCGCACAGGGAGAGACCGGUUCCCGAACGUUGGUUUUUCGGGUUCGCAGCAAGAGACCGGUCCCUGCUGGGGAGAGACCGGUCCCUCUGGGCGAAAACUGCCCAGUUCGGGCUGAUGUAAAUUUGAGUUUUUGAGGGGCCUCUCCGGAUUUUGUUACACUAGAUGGGCUUAUUAGCCAUUUCCCUCUCUUCCCUCCUCAUUUCUCACCCUCACCCCACACCUUCUAGAGAGAGAAGAAGAAGAAGGAGGAGAAAAAGAAGAGGAGCUUGCUUGAGGGAGCUUGGAGCUCAACCCCUUUCUCUCUUUUCCACCCUUGCUUGGUUUGGAGCUUGCUUGUAGAGCUUGGUGGUGGACCAAUCUUCAACCCUAGAAGAUUUGGAGCUUGUUUGGAGGCAUCUUGGGAGGUUAGUACUUGGAUUCUACCCUUUGAUCCUUGAUUUGGUAGGUUUUACCAUAUGGAACCCUAGAAUGGAUAUUAGGGUUGAUUUUUGGGGCUUUUUGAUCUAGGGCUUUUGAGGCUAGAUUGAUUGGAUUAGAACCUUCCUUGGGCUUGGAUUGGAAGGGAUUUAGCUCUCUUUUGGAGCUUGAGAGAGAUUUUCCACACAUUAGGUGAGUUUUAGCCCUUUUGCCAAGUUUGUUAAAGUUUGAUCUUAUAGUUGAUCGUAAUGCCCGUGUAUCUCUUCGCUCAAUACUUUUAGGGUAUUUUGAGACUCGUGGACAACUCCGUUCGGCGAAUCGAAGGAGCACGCGACGGUUCGGUGGGUUUGACCUAGCCACACAAUGAGAAAAUCUCAUUGUUGACGAUUUAAGUGUUAUAAAAUGAAAAAGCAUGCAUAUUCUUGUUAUAUGUAUUUAUUGUGAAUUUUAGAAUGCUUAAAAUGCCUAUGUUGCAUAUAGUAAAAUUUUGGGCCUCUAUGUAGUAGAGAGCAUGCAUGUGUGAUAUAGCAUUCUGGUUGAGAUUUGAAACUAAGAUCCCUAUUAUGAAAAUGAACCUUGCUUUCAUGCAUUUAGCUUAUUUGCCAAUUGUGACAUUAGGGAUUUUUGGAAGCCUAGAGAGGCUUGAGGACUUAGACUAUUUGAGAGAUUGGGCCAAUGUCAUAAAGAGGCAUUGGGCCCGGGCUAAAGUGAACCUUGCUAGUAUUGUUUUAAUUGGAAUAUGGAACAUGAAUUGGGCAUGAUUAGUUGUGAUGCUUAAGUGUCAUAAAGAGGCACUAAGCAAGUGUGUGCGUUGGAGCGUCACUUUGAGACUUUGGACUAGAUCCUUGGGAUGCUAGUGACCUUGCCAUGUGAGAGGCAUGAGAGUAGAGUACUUGAGACUUUGACCUUGCUUGUUUGCCAUUUGUGCUCAUUCGCACAUGCUUGUGAGGGUCGCUCCCUACAAGCCGGCACUCCGGAGUUAGCCUACGCGACUUAUGUUCGCUCGUGCGGUAUUGAGAAGCCUACGGGGUCGAGUGGGACAGACACAUUCCAAGAGUAGGGAUGUCAGGCUACCACAGGUACUUAGGCGGCACAAGCUGGACUACCUUUGGGAGGUCCUUAAUUGGAAAUGGAAAUCGACACGGUGUUAAAAAAUGAAUAAUCACUGCUAGAUAGGCUUAGUAGUUGGGUUACCUGACACGCUCAUGACAUAGCAUUGGGAUACAUAUAGUAUACUUGCCUGUUUCAUUCAUUGUGUCAUAGUAUACUGGGUCGCAUAGUAGAACUCAUUCUUUAUGCAUGACAUCUUGGACGGUAGCAUUUACUUCCUGCCAUCGGACGUACUUGUUUAUGCUAGAAUAGAUGUACAUUAUACUUACAUCAUGCCUUGCUUACUAUUCUUGUCGUUACUUACCUUUUUCUUUUAGGGCCUAGAGGUGCAUUGGGCUGAGGUCAGUAAUUGCCCACUGGGAACUAUAAAUUAUAGUUCUCACGCUCUCUGUUUUAUGUUUUCUUUCAGAGCCUUCCACGCCGGGAGAGGCUAGGGACCGUGGGAAGGGCGUCGCAUCGAGUUAGCCCUUCAGCGAGAGAUGAGUUUAGGUGGUUUACCUCUCGAUGUUUUAUUUUGUGAGAGGUUGAGAGUUGUACCCGUAUAUGUAUAGAGACCACCUUUCUUUUGGAUCUUGGUAUUUCUUUUGAGGAGUUAGUAUUGUAUCACCUUAUGUUUUACUUUCUUCGUCUCGAUAUAUUUCCUUUACUCUGGUUUAGAUGAUAGAACUUUGCUCGCUCUGAUAUCGUUAGUUGUUAUUAUUCUAUUUGUACUAUUUCUUGCUUUUAUUUCUGCUUUAUUGUAGACGCCUUAUAUGUGUAGACAUAUGGCGGGUCUAGGCACGCCACCGGGAGGGCCCCCGCCGGUCCCGGGGCGUGACAGAUUAAUUUGGUAUCAGAGCCUAGGGUUGAGUCUUAGAGGACCUCGCAAACCUUAGGCCGGUUGGACUAUAGGAAUUAGGCUCGUCUCGAGAAUACCCUAUCCUCUAGGGUCAUAAUCAUCGUAUAGUCCAUAGGCGUCGUAUACACCGAGUUCAACAUGCAUCACUUGUUUUCUUAUACACUAUCAACUAGAUUGCCACUUGUCCAUGGUUUACUAUCGACUAGAUGCCACUCAUUCUUUGUUUAUCAUUAGACCAACCAUUGAGUCCAUCUCUUCCUCUGCACUAUAGGAUCCUCAAACCUCGACCCAAUCCUUAUCGAUCCACUAUAUCAAACAUCUAUUACAUGCUACGAUAUCAUCAAGGAAAGCAUAAGGAAAGGCAAUGCACAAUCAUCAUAUAAUGCAAUAAUACAAGAUGCAAGAAUCGACAUGUACUAAGACAUAGAAGGGAGCCCGAUUGCUUCGGGAUGGACACCACCCACCUCUUAGUGAUGCCGCGAUGAUAGAAAGCUCGACGUUGCGGUCUUUGCACGUCGCUUCAACUCCUCGGGGCAAAGCGAGCCCUCGAGUACCCGAUUCGGCGAUAACUCCGCACUCGCUCGUCGGAUCGGCAAACCGUCUUCGCCGACGCGUUCCGAGACCUAGCAAUUUGGUUUACGACCUAUUAAGAUAGAUCAAAACCCUAGAUUUAUCAAAAUCCCAAAUCUGUGCCCUAGAAUGGCAACGAGGGAGAAAUCCGUGGUGCAAGCUUCGAUUGCGAGCCCGAACCAUCUACUUAUCUUCUCUAGGUUCUAUUUGAACCAAUUCUAAGCAAUAAAACCCAAUCCUAAGAAAUCUACCAUGGAUGGGUUUGGAGUUUACCUCUAAGCCAAGGUCCAAGCUUGCCCUAGCUUGAAGGAGAGAGGGAAGAAGACCUUCUUCUUCUUCUUCUUCUCCUUCCACUUCUUCCUCUUUUUCUUCUUUUCUUUCUUCUCCUUCUUCUUCUCCUUCUUUUCUUUCUAGAGAGAGAGAGAGGGAAAGAGUGUGAAAGAGAGAGAGAAAGAGCAACUGGGAGGGAGAAAGGGGGGUCCCUAAGCCCUCAUAUAGGCCAUUUUGCAGAUAGCCCCCUCAACUUUUCAUUUCCUGAAACAGCCCUCCCUGGGCCAUUUUCGUAGUGAGGGACCGGUCCCAGCUCGGGGAGACCGGUCCCCGAAGGCUGCCAUUUCGAGCAGAGGGGAUUUCGUGUUCGGGAACCGGUCCUUGCCUGAGAGACCGGUCCCCGGGAGACCGGUGCUGGUCCGAGAGAUCGGUUUCCGAGAGCUGCACUUUCGGGACUUAGCCAAAUUUCGGCUUUUCUCGCUGGGCCAACGUUCGGGAACCGGUCCCUGCCUAUAGGGACCGGUCUCAUCAGAGACCUCCGCAACCCAGCCUGAUGGGACCGGUCCCUCCCUGCCAGGGUGUCACGCCCCGGGACCGGCGGAGGCCCUCCCGGUAGCGUGCCCAGACCCGCCAUAUGUCUACACAUAUAAGGCGUCUACAAUAAAAGCGGAAGUAAAAGCAAGUAAUAAAACAAAUCGAAGAAGUGAAAUAAUGAGCAGCUAAUGAUAUCAGAGCGAGUAAAGUUCUAACAUCUACACCAAGGUAAAGAAAUAAAGCUAGACAAUAAAAGAAGUCAUAAGUAGUACAAUAUCUGUCUCAAAAGUACAAAAACGGUGGUCACUAAUACACUGGUAGAACUCUCAACCUCUCGCAAGAGGAAACAAAAAUCGAGAGGUAGACCACCUAGCAACUCGUCCUCGAAGGAAGCUAGCUAGAAAGCAACUCCCUUCCCGCGAUCCCUGGCCUCACCCUGAGUGGAAGGCUCUGUAAAACAUCGAGAAAAAGAGGGCAUGAGAACUAUAAUUUAUAGUUCCCAGUGGGCAAUUACUGACCUCACUCAUCGCACCACUAGGCCCCAAAAAAGGGGCGUAAGGUAAGAAUAAGCAAAAUAAGAAUAAUUAGUAACAAUGUAGAAGCGUAAUAGACUGGUGCUAAGCCAUAUUCUCAAAGUAAGCAAUGAUGCCAUUGGUAAUGUACAUCUAGCACUACAUUAAGUAAUAAUCCGAUGCAUACUAAUAUGUUCACACAUAAAAGCAAGUAGCCUCACGAUACGUAUGUCAAUGCAUAAGGUAAACUCUUAUCCAAACACGAGUACCUACGAUGACAAUGAUAAUUGGCCAAGUAUACUAAAUUACAAUGCGUAUUACAUAAAUAGCGUGUCAAUAAUUCCAAACUACUCCUAUCUAUAGUGAUUGUUCAUAAAUCAACACGUGUCGAUUUCAUUUCCAAUACAAGGACCAACUCAAGUGGUCCAGCUUGUGCCGCCUAAGUGUCUGUGGUACAUCGACAUCCCUACUCUUGAAGUGUCUUCCCACUCGACCGUAGCACGUGCUUCUCAAUACGCUCACUGAUGCGAACGUAGUCGCGUAGCUAACCCCGGAGUGCCGGCUUUGUAGGAGCGACCCAGCACAGCAUCGUGCGAAUGGACACAAUGGCAAGCAAGCGAGUCCAUAGUCUCCAAAUAUCCAAUCUCAUGUCUCCUAACAUGGUAUCAUCAUAACUAGCAUCCCCGAAGAUCUGCUAGUCACAUUGAAUUGGUAUUUUUUGCCGACGCCUAGCUGCCCUUGAUGAUGACUUAGGCAAUUUGAUGUCGCAACUGUAACCCACAGCUCGCUCGAUGGCACUACUCACGACAGGUUCACAACAUUGUCGCACUCAAUGCCGCUUGAGACAUUAGCAUCUCGUAGUUUCAGCUAUACAUUUAAGUUCAAUACCCUAUAUGCAAUUUUUGUCACUCUUUUACAUGUCUCAAGAUAAACCUUAAGUUAAAUGCAUGAUCCAAAGCUCAUUUACAGCUCAUAUAGAAGCAUGAACUCACCAGUCUCAUAUAGAACUAAUGCAACACAUAGGCCUACCAAGCUAACUCUCUUACUUAACAUAUGAGUCCAAAAUUUCAACAUGCAUAACUUAGCGCGCCUUUUAAGCAUUUCUAAAAUUCCCUGGAAUAAUGUAUAUAAUAAAGAAUAUGCAGCUUUUUCAAUUACCGAGCAUAAAGUAACCAUAUACAUGAGAAUUUCUCCAUAUGUAGGCAGGUCAAACCCCACCGAACGCGUCGCGUAGGUCUCGAUCCCGCGAACAAGUUGGUCCCCGAGUCUCAAAUUAUCCUAUAAAUAAUGUGACGAUACAAGAUAACAUGGGCAUUACGACCUAGUUUAUAAGAUCAAAACUCUUAAGACAUUUUAGCAAAAGGCCCACCAAAACUCACCCAAGCAUAAAAUCCUCUCUAAGCUCUCAAGGAGAGUAAGAAUCAUUCCAAUCCAAAGCCCAAGAGUUCUAGUCCAACACAUCUACUCCAUAAAGCCUCCAAAGCACAAAUGCCCAAUAGACCCUCAAAUUUCCAUUUCUAAGGGUUUGAUCUAUGAAUUCGAUUCACAAAAUUCACUAUUCUAUAGGAGACGACCAAGUAGAUUACCUCCUACGAAGCUCAAUCUACAGCUUGUAACAUCUCUAAGUCCAAGGAUCUCCCUCAACUCUCCAUAACCAAGCCUCAAUAGGGAAAGUCUCAAAUCAACAAAGAGAGGCAAAAGAGGGGUUUAAUCUCUUUAAACAAUAUCCAAAAAAUCAACAGAAAACAAAGAGGUGACAGGGUGGGGCCUCCCCUAUCCUUCUCUCUGUCCAAGCUCAGGAGAGCCACUAGGGGCGUGGGGGAUACAUAUAACAAUCGAACAAUUAGCGAAAAACCCCACUGCAGUUCAAACUGCUUCAAGAAUCUGCCGAAACGUGUAUCGCGUACACCGGAAAGUGUACCGGUCACACAUCUACGAAAUGCGAAACGAAGGCUCGGCGUUCGAAUUUCCCACAGUGUACCUGGUACAGACUACAUCAACGCGUCCGGUACAAUAAUGUGUACGUACGACCAUCAACGAGUCGUACCGUACACCUUGUCAAAUCAAUCCGAGGGUAGGCUAAGUCCAACUUUUUGGUGACCUUAGCGCUACAUAAAAUACUACAAUUCUCGAAAUACGUGCCAUAGGUCGGAACACUGUCAACGACCCACCAGAAAGUCUGGAAAGACUCGGGACACUGUCCAAACACUCGAACCCCGCAAUUUGCAAAAGUCCGGUGCGUCACACAGAGACUGGUCACCGAGAGCAUUUCUGCUCCAGUGCAAGUUUUGCAAUUGGUGCUCUCGCGGACCCUUCCUUAGUGCACUUAAUGCGUUAAAAUCACCUUCGGACUUUCCAAAGCUUACACACUCGACAACUACUCGAUUCUGAUUGAAGUCUAAUCCUCGAGUUUUGAGAAUUCACUUCCUCACACCAUGUCUCCACGGUCCAAGGAUCGAUCACCUCUCCGUCGAACGUAGGCGGAUGGAACUUCGUAAAUCUCGUGAGAGCCGUGUAUCCACGCUCUCGCUCCGCCUCAUCAGCUGCUACCCUCGGCAUAGGGGAUCUAGACACCGCAGGAGGAAUAUCCACCGGUGGGGGUUGCGCCGCCACCGGAACCGGCACAUCGCCUACACCCUCAGUCGCAUUGGGAGCGCGAACCGCAGGCGCAGGCAGAUCGCGGCCUGGACCAACUGCCGCAGCCGCCGCCGCCGCCGCCACAGCUUGUCGCUCCAACAAUUCCUGGAGCCGAUCGAUCGGUCCCAUUAGCGUAGCAACUUGCGCUCGCAACUCCUGUCCCUCGCUAGGCCCAGCUGGCUCUGGCGCCCCCGGAGGCACAGCUGGCUCGAGCACCUCUGGAGGUGGUGCCGGAGCAGUCCUACGCACAUAACGUCUCUUCGGUGCCAUCAACUCCUGAAACGCAAAUAGUUGGUUAAUUAUUUAACCCAACAACGUCGUCGCAGUUAUGAAACAAAACAACCCAACCACAUUAAUCAGACGGAAGCUCUUAGGCGUACUCAUUCUCGACUCUCGGCAUCGUGUCGUCGGCCGCCAACACAACCGCCUUAAGCCAAGAGCUAGUAUCACUCAAUUCAUCUCUAGCAACUACUAGAGUAUCAACACCAAUCUCGACCCAAUCGAUCAACUUCCGUCGCAUCAUAGGUUCACGUCGCACUCACGCACCUAUAACCUUAUGGUUCACCAUCCUAGAGUCUCCUAGGUCAGUCCUAGACUCUCUCUUUUGCUUGCUCUUACUCGCUUUGAUACCACAAACUGUCACGCCCCCGCCCCGAGGCCGAUACCAAUUUGGUCCGGUUCGUGCGCGGCGGAGGACCGCCGAACGGACAGCACCUCCCCUGUCCGCCCAAGGCUCUCUACAAAAGUUAAGUCGUUUAUGGAUAGAUAGACGUAUAGAUAGACACGGACGAAUCUGGAUCACCCCUCUAGCCGCCUCAGCCGCCGGCUUGGGUGACCCUUGAUAAGCAUCAAGAGUAGGGUGAAACAACGUCCAGGCUCAUGCUCAUCGGGGCCACUCCUAGCGCCGUUCCCGCAUCGCGGGAUUACCAUAAUCGUGUAUCGAUCGAAAUGAAGGAAAACGUAAUCGAUGGGAUAUGAAUAUAACUCUCAUCUACAACAUAUCCCACUCCAAAACUCUCCUAACAUGAACAUAUACUAGUAUAAAACCCUUUUCUUGUUUUCUCAACAUUAAUUUACAUAAUUCAACUUACCUACAUUAUCUUAUCAAUUCAUAGAAAGAAAGUAAGUGAACAUACCGACAUAAUGAGCACUACGAACGAGAGCAUAACAUAUCGUGAUAAACACGAAAGCACCAUACUAACACAUACAUAAGUUCAACAACAGGACCCUUGAACAACAUGUGUUAGAGCAGUAANNNNNNNNNNNNNNNAAUUCUUCUCAUAAUCCUUUAACUGCCGUGAAGCAUAAGCAAUCACCCUACCAUGCUGCAUCAGUACGCAACCAAGUCCACUGUGCGAUGCAUCACUGUAGAUCACAAAUCCUUCGCCCAUAACAGGAAGGGCAAGGAUAGGAGCCGACAUUAACCUCAAUCUCAACUCGUCAAAGUACCUCUGACAGUCGUCGCUCCAGACAAAACGAAUCCCCUUCCGCGUCAAGCGCGUGAGGGGUGUGGAAAGCUUCGCAAAGCCUUCCACAAAUCGACGGUAAUAUCCUGCCAGUCCCAGGAAGCUCCGUACCUCAGUAACCGUCGUCGGUCUAGGCCAAUCUCGAAUCGCCUCAAUCUUCUUCGGGUCCACUACUACGCCCUCAGCUGAAAUCACAUGGCCCAAGAAAGCAACCUCCCGUAGCCAGAACUCGCACUUCUUUAACUUGGCAUACAACUUCUUCUCGCGCAGAAGUUGUAGCACAAUCCUCAAGUGCUCCUCAUGCUCAGCAUCACUCCGGGAGUAAAUCAGGAUAUCGUCGAUGAAGACUACCACAAACCUAUCCAAGAACGGCUUGAACACUCUGUUCAUCAAAUCUAUGAAGGCGGCAGGGGCAUUCGUCAAUUCAAAAGGCAUCACCGUGAACUCAUAAUGCCCGUACCGAGUCCGAAAAGCCGUCUUGGGAACAUCCUCCGCCCUCACCCUCAACUGGUGGUAACCUGACUGGAGAUCAAUCUUCGAAAAGACACAAGAUCCCUGUAGCUGAUCAAACAAAUCAUCAAUGCGCGGCAAGGGAUACUUAUUCUUGAUGGUCACUUUAUUCAGCUCCCGGUAAUCCACACAUAACCUGAGCGAACCAUCCUUCUUCUUUACAAAUAACACCGGCGCUCCUCAAGGCGACACACUGGGUCUCACAAACCCUCUAUCCAUCAGAUCAUGAAGUUGCGCCUUUAGCUCUCUCAGCUCUGCCGGUGCCAUCCUGUAAGGUACCUUUGAGAUUGGUGCAGUUCCAGAAACUACAUCAAUCACAAACUCAAUCUCUCUCUCCGGCGGCAACGUCGUCAACUCAGGGGGAAACACAUCCGGAAACUCGCGGACUACUGGGAUGUCCUCGAGUCCCGGCGCCGCCGUAGGUACCUCCACAACUGUCGCUAGGAACGCGAUACACCCACUGCUCAGCAUCUGUCGAGCCCUCGCCGAAGAUAUCCAGGUGGCAAACAGCGUGCUCCUGCAGCCUCUGAAAGUAAACUCCUCCUGGCCUGGCUCGCGGAACGUCACCGUCCUCGCUCCACAGUCGAUCGUAGCAUAGUACCGCGCCAGCCAAUCCAUACCGAGCACUACGUCGAAGUCCUGUAGCUGCCCUAACACGAACAGGUCUGCGGGCAUGAUCGAAGAGUCUAACUGCACCGGACAGGACCAACAACACUCUGUAACCUGCAAGACAUGGUAGGGGAUCUGCACCUCUCGUGCCUGAGACAACGCUCCUAACUCUAGACCAUGCAACAAUGCAAAUGCUCGGCUAACAAAGGAAUGCGAUGCACCGGUAUCAAAAAGAGUGCGAACUCUAAUGCCAGAAAUCAAAGUGAUACCUGCCACCACUCGGUCGGCUGCUGAAGAGUCCUCCACCUGAGCUGCGUAGACCCUGCCACUCGGAGCCUGCUGUCGCCGCUCACUCGACCGCGGCACAGACGAUCUGUCCUCCUGGCGGUAGCUCGGUGCUGCUCCGUAAGACUGCUGUGGUGCUGGUGGUGCCGAAGCUGAUGACGGUGCUGGAGAUGCUGCUCGGGGACAAGCUGCCCUCAUGUGUCCCGGCUGACCACAUCCGUAGCACCUGCCCUCUCUCUGCUCGCACUGCCGAGGCCAGUGUGGUCCCCCGCAGAUCACACACUGUGGCGUCCUCUGAGUCUGCCCCUGCUGACGGGAUCCCCUGGAACGCUGACGCCCCGAAGACCCACGACCCUGAGAACGUGAUCGUGGAGGUCUCGGCGGACGUCUGCUGCUCGACUGCCCUCCGUCAUCUGGAAAGGGGCGCUUCCUGUCCUGACCCUGCCCCACGGCCUGAGUCCUCUCCUGCAGCGACACCUCACCUCUCUCCACCCAUAGGGCCUGCUCUAUGGACGCAUCCAGGGUCCUCGACCUCUGCGCCCGCACUAACCUGAAGAUGUCCGGUCUCAGCCCCUGCUCGAACAUGUAUACUCUGUGCGCCUCGUCUCUGGCCGCAAAUGGUACACAGUUCAGGAGUCGAGUAAACUCCCGAACGUACUCCUGCACUGGGCGAUCUCCCUGCUGAAGCCUCCUCAAAUCCUCCUCGAGCUUCUGCUUCACACUGUUGGGAAAGAACAUCCCAAACAGCAUUCCACAGAACUCAUCCCAACUCAGCUGCGCCGCCACUAGCCCCUGGUCUCGCCUCGUUCUCCGCCACCAGUCAUGAUCAUCACCUGCUAGACAGUGUACUCCCAGGGGUACCUGCUCCCCCUCUGGAACGAACAGAUCCUCGAAUAACUUCUCCAUCGCACUGACCCAUCCCUCAACAAUCCAGGCCUCAGUGCUUCUGCCAUCGAAGAUCGGUGGAUCAAAUCGGCAAAAACGAGCUAACCUCUCCGUCCACCGCUCCUGCUCGGCCUCAGUCAACGGUACUGGCCCCCUAGCAGGCGUAACUGGCGCUACUGGAACUGCUGCCGAUGGAGGAACUGCUGCAGCUGGUGCUGUCACUGGGGUAGUCGGGGGUGGAACUGGCGACUCUGGUGCCCUCGGUACAGAACUCGGUGGCUGAGCUAUCCUCUCACACAACCUCUGCAAUAGCUCCCCCUGCUGUCUCGUCACCUCGGUCAGGGCAGCUAACUGUGCACUCAAAUCAGGAGGUGCGCUAGUCUCCGGUCGGGCCCUCUGCUAAACAACUGGGGGUGCACUCGCCUCUGCCUGCUCAGGCAUCUCGGGAGAUCUAGCACGAUCCUGCGCCAACUGCGCACGCUCCCGCAACGACGGUCGACCUCGGCGACGAUACAUAACUGAAAGGAACAAAUCGGGGUCAGUUGAAACACAAACACUCUUGACCCAAUCAACGAAAGUCUGGAAGGCGGUCCCUGUUUCCCUCCAAAAUUAUGUCGUCUGCAGCCAACAUAAUUUCUCAGGCCGAAACAGGAACUCCUUCAGUCACUCACUCUACUAUAAGAGGAGUUAGAACAAAUAAUCAUUGACUUUUGCAAUUAAAUUAUGCCUCUCGCGUCCUGCUUUCCUAAGGUUUGCCAAACUUAGGUUUCCUAGGUCCCAACGACCUACAGCAAAGAUCUGAUACCAACUUAAUCUGUCACGCCCCGGAUUACACGUUCCCCGGGCACGCCGACAAAUCCGCCGUAUACAAAUAAAUUUUUCCUGUAUACGAAGCGAUAGCUGUACCUGUAAAUCAAACACUACUACGAAAAGUAGUAGAGAGCUGCUAGAGAAAACAGAAGCUAAAUAAAACAGAGUUUCAUAUACAUAGUUCAGAUCCAAAAUACAGAGCUACUCGCACUGGCGAGUUAAGUCAACUAUGUACAUAAACUCGAAACAAAACAUCUACCUGCAGUAGGGCACCUCUAGCUCAGUGCGUCGGGUAGGGCUCUAACUCGCGAUGCCCUUGCCUCGAUCCUGGUCCGCAGACGGUGCAGCAGCCGGCACCUGUGGCUCUGCAAAAACAUAGGUAACAACUGGGCGUGAGAACUACUGUAAAAACAAGUAGUCCUCAGUGGGUACCGCCCAAAACAACAUCGGUCACCCACUAAGUCUACAGAAGGGAGCUAAGAUAGAAGGAAAGCAGGAAUCAUACUCUACCGCUAUCAUCCACUACACUAUCAUGCUCUACACUAACCAACUGUAGAAAAUGUCAAAUCUGACCCAAUCCAAUCGGGACUGUAAGCAUACCCGUCCCCGGGACUGUGAAUACACCCGUCCCUGCCCCGUUGCGACUAUCAAGCUCUAUCCACACUAACUGGUCCGUGGAGAGCAAGUCCAACUGGCAUGAGCGACACCAACGCAAAAGCACAAGCCUGACUCCGGAGUGGCACUCGUGGGCGCUACCCAACCGAGUAUGCAGCGUAUCUCUGUCGAGCUCAAUCAGGCUCCAACUAGCCAAGGUCAAGUGAUCGACUCAAACUGGUCAAACAACCAACAGGUAACGUGCCCUCGGCACAAUCUGACGCCAAAAAGGCGAUACGGGUCCACCGUCAACUCUGACGGCACCCAACAGUCCGAAACGACCUGAACAACCCUGUAAAAAUCUACUCGGCGAACCAGCACGAGUGUAAAUACAUUCUAAACUACCUGGAGUACUCGUCUCGAAGAAACUGCGACAGUACAAUUUUCUAACGGCUCCUAGAGCUAAAUCAGGUAGUUAAAACUGGUGACAGGCCCAAAUCGCAAGUUUUCUCCUAAUUCAAUUUCCAAGUCCAACAUAUAUAAUCUAUUUACUUGAUAAAAUAUGCUCGAAAAUUCAGAUUUUACAUUCUAAAGAUAAUCCAUGAAUUUGAGCUAAACUUUAAUUACCGAAAUCAAGAUCUAUACAUGUCGACCAAUAAGAACUUAGGAGUAAAGCCGAUGUAACCCACCUAAAAAUGCAAAUCCUUGGCAGCGAAGGACUCCCACUGGUGUAGAGCAACUUGCUGGAUCAAACGCACAGCUCCGAGUCCAGAAAUCGUCCACGCUCGAGCUCCACACGACAAUAAAUCACCGUUUCAGUCCCGAAUUUCAGCAGUGAGGUACAACAGGGAUUCGACCAAGCUUACCUUCACCAAAUCCAGCAAGUUAGGGCUUCGUGGAUUCCUCUCGUAGUCCUGAAUCCAACGAGCCAAGUCUCGUCGCAAUCCGAUGCUCCUACGUCGAGAACGAGCCAAAAUACAAACAGUCGACGGUGAAAUUCUGCGAAAACAGCACUUAAGCUCUAAUUUGAUGAUACCCGGAUUAAUCGAAGCCACUCCAACAGACACUCACCUCGACAACACCGGGCACCGCUGCGACAGCAAAAACGGCGAAAUCCUCCUCUCGCCCGGCCUUCUCGCGCUGUAACGGCAGCAACCGUAUCCCCGGACGGCUCCGCGGCGCGACGUCGGCAACGAAAGCUCCAACCGAGAUCCUCCCUAGCCUAAGAUCUGUUGGAGAGUGAGAGAGAGGAAGUAGCAACAGAGGAACUCCCUCUCUCUGUCCUCAUAAGGCUAAAUAGAGAGAGAGAGGGCUGGUGAUACAAACGAGGGAGAGAAAAGACCAAAACAC
This 33577-nucleotide long non-coding RNA is filed under the name Ananas comosus (pineapple). Its description in RNAcentral is "long non-coding RNA (ACOM_LNC030622)". The record is from RNAcentral. Lineage: Eukaryota; Viridiplantae; Streptophyta; Magnoliopsida; Poales; Bromeliaceae.